CCCCCUUCAUCCUAGAAAUUUCUGCUUUCACUCUUCCUCAGCCGUAAAAUCUGGCUCCACAGGCUUCUGCAGCGAUCCGCGCAUGUGAUAAUCGCUUCCCCCGGGCCCGCUUGCAGCAUACAUUCUUAAGCUACUCUGCCCCAAUGAUCUGAAGGACGCGUCCAUUCGUUCCGCCGCUGCCGGUUUGGCCAAAUCGGUCGCCGGCCUCUCCCUUGCCCUGAGCUCCGCCGCCUCCGUCCGCCUUUUAAACCGAACCCACGCUGCCUGAAUAAAGCAUGCCGCCCAAGUCCUCCACUGGUGCGAGUAAAACCUGAACGUGUCCCGGAGCCGCUUGCUGUGCAGCCUCCGGAACUGCGACGCCACAAACCUCAAGUCCUCCGCGACGAGCGCGAAAGCCUCGACGUCGGAGAUGGCUUCGACGGUACGGGUGGAGGAAGGAAGGAGGCCGGUGGGGUGGGGGUCGAGGGCCCACGGGAGGAGCUCCUCGCCGCAGAAGUCGCCGGGGCCGAUGCAGGAGGAGUUGAAGAAGCCGGUGCGGCCGCCGUUGGUGGUGUAGGAAUCCAAGUGGCCUCGGAUUAUGAAAAGCAUCUCGUGGACGAGGUCGCCCUCGCGAACCACGCACGCGCCUUGGGUGCACAGAGCAGGUUUUAACCUUUCGCAAAUGGCAUCAAGCAUUCUCUCCUCCAUCUGAUCAAAUAGGGGUACCUGUUUCCUUUUAAAAUUAAUAUGGUUACAAAAACGAAUUCCAAAAUUGAGGAAUGAUCGAGUUCAAUCAUCUAUAUUGAUCUUGUAUUCCAAUUUGUAGCAAUUCCAGGUCGAAAUAUUCAAUCAACUGAUCUGUUUUUUUGAACAAUUUUUUUUUUUUUUUUCAUUCAUGGUGUCUUGAACUUACGCGGCGAACUAGAUCGAGGCAGAGAUGGCGCUUGAUGUCUCUUCGGAGAUCUACGGGAAGGCCUUCGAGAAUGGCUUCCUCGUCGACUCCCCGAGUUGCGAUCCAUUUGUACUGCUCAUACCUUCGUACACUCUGCUUCAAUUCAUGCGGUAGCUGCCUGUGACUCAUCCAUUGUUCGGUAUCGGUUCGCUGAAUUCUCCAUUCUUCCAGUCGCACGGUUGUGGAUUGGAGGUACCCCUGUUGAUGGAGAAUGUGCAAAUGGAUAUUUGAAUCUUGAAAUAGGGAGGAAGUUGUCUUAAGAUGGGUUAAGAAUAUUUUCAGGAGGACAAAUGGGAGUUGCGGAAUCUUCUAAAGACAAAUUGUGCUUCAGAAACCAUGAGAAUGCUGCUAUCUCACAAGAUGAGGCGUCUAGCUGCCCCUUUAGUUACCUCAGAUUCCUCAAGCCCCACCAAAAACAGUAGAAGUACUUGGUGUAGAACCUGGAGGUUGUAACUCGAAAUUUCAGCGCAUCAGCAUAAAUGCCGAACAAGAAGAAUUUGCCAUUUGGAUCACAGAGACUUUGGAUAUUACUUGAGUUGAACCAGGCAGCUCUGCCAGAUUCAUCCAUAGCACGGCAGUCAAAAAAUGCAUAGUUGCAAUGUGGGUGCUGCAGACUGCAAACUUCUCUCCAACAUUCUUCCUGCCGCUCGAUCGAUAAAAGGUACCAACAGGAACCUAGCACCUUCAUGAAAUGAAUUGACUAAAAGUUAGUAUUUCUGCAUAAUACAUUUGUAAUGAAAAUUGUCUUAACAACCAGCCAAGCUGCAAAAUAUUCUGCAGUGUAGAGUUUCAUCAAACCAUGUGUUGUAAAGAAAAAUAUUGUUUAAACACAAUUCAGUUUGGAAAAAAGAAAAAAUCUCAGUGCCUACAAAA
Long non-coding RNA from Malania oleifera, 1804 nucleotides. RefSeq lists it as uncharacterized. The transcript is spliced from 2 exons. Lineage: Eukaryota; Viridiplantae; Streptophyta; Magnoliopsida; Santalales; Ximeniaceae. The record is from RefSeq and is a predicted model, not a curated record.